CGCCUGCCUGACCACCGGAAACCGGCGCGUCGAUAAACUGGAAUCCGCGCUUGGUGGCCUCGGCAUCAAGUUGCCGGGCCACCUCGGCCGAUGCCGUGGUGUGGUCGACAAAAACGGCACCGGACUUCAUGCCCGAAAACGCUCCAUCGGCGCCGAUGGUCACGGCACGCAGGUCGUCGUCGUUGCCGACGCAGGCCAUCACGAAAUCCUGACCUUCGGCCGCGGCCUUCGGUGUCGCGGC
RNAcentral lists this unclassified non-coding RNA (241 nucleotides) under Hevea brasiliensis (rubber tree). Lineage: Eukaryota; Viridiplantae; Streptophyta; Magnoliopsida; Malpighiales; Euphorbiaceae. The record is from RNAcentral.